This 918-nucleotide ribosomal RNA is filed under the name Triticum aestivum (bread wheat). Its description in RNAcentral is "partial small subunit ribosomal RNA". Lineage: Eukaryota; Viridiplantae; Streptophyta; Magnoliopsida; Poales; Poaceae. The record is from RNAcentral.
ACAGAUGAUGAUGUCAGUGAACUGGUUCAGAAGGUCCCCGAUGGUUGCAUAUUUACCAUUGUCUCUGACUCAUGCCACAGCGGUGGCCUGCUUGAGAAGGCCAAGGAGCAGAUAGGCGACAGCACCAGGGAGAGUGAGACCCAGUCCGGUGAACCCGAGGAGUCAUCCGAUUCGCCGACUGGCUUCCGGUCCUUCCUCAAAGACACUGUCCGGGACGUGUUCAAGUCCCAUAGCCGCCGCUUCCGAAGCCGACACGGAAGCGACGACGAUGAGGAGGCAGAUGCACAGGUAGAAGCAGAAGCAGAAGCAGACGGGGAUGACCACACCAAGAGUCGGUCGCUGCCGCUGUCAACACUCAUCGAGAUGCUCAAGCAGCAGAGCGGGAAGGAGGACGUCGACGUGGGCUCCAUCCGGAUGACCCUGUUCAACUUCUUCGGGGAGGACGCCAGCCCAAAGGUCAAGAAGUUCAUGAAGGUCAUGUUCCUCAAGUACUGCGAGGGCAAGCUGGGCGAGCAGGACGGCGUGAUGGGCAUGGUCGGUGGCCUGGCCUACAAGCUCCUCAAGGCCAAGCUUGAAGGCGGCGACGAGGAGGAGGAUGCUUUGAGGCCGGCGAUGGAGCAGGAGGUUGGCGGGGAAGAGGAGGUGUACGCGGGGGCCAGGUCGUGGGCACCUACCAACGGCAUCCUCAUCAGCGGGUGCCAGAGCAGCCAGACGUCGGCGGACGCAACCACGGCGCAGGGCUCCUCGUUCGGCGCGCUCAGCAACGCCAUCCAGACCAUCCUUGAAGGGGAGGAGGGAGAGGUGACCAACAGGGAUCUCGUCAUGGGAGCACGGAAGGCGCUGGCCAAGCAAGGAUACGCUCAGCAGCCUGGCCUCUACUGCAGUGAUGAGCUCCUCCAUGUGGCUUUCAUUUGCUGA